Molecule: ribosomal RNA, 253 nt
Filed under: uncultured bacterium
Lineage: Bacteria
Description: partial 16S ribosomal RNA
Rfam family: Bacterial small subunit ribosomal RNA
Source: RNAcentral
UACGUAGGGUGCAAGCGUUGUCCGGAAUUAUUGGGCGUAAAGAGCUUGUAGGCGGUUUGUCGCGUCUGCCGUGAAAGUCCGGGGCUCAACUCCGGAUCUGCGGUGGGUACGGGCAGACUAGAGUGAUGUAGGGGAGACUGGAAUUCCUGGUGUAGCGGUGAAAUGCGCAGAUAUCAGGAAGAACACCCGUGGCGAAGGCGGCUCUCUGGGACGGUACUGACGCUGAGACGCGAAAGCGUGGGGAGCGAACAGG